AGCGAACGCUGGCGGCAGGCCUAACAUAUGCAAGUCGAACGCACCUUCGGGUGAGUGGCGGACGGGUGAGUAACACGUGGGAACGUACCUUUUGGUUCGGAAUAACGCAGGGAAACUUGUGCUAAUACCGAAUGUGCCCUUCGGGGAAAGAUUUAUCGCCAUUAGAGCGGCCCGCGUUAGAUUAGCUAGUUGGUGAGGUA
Molecule: ribosomal RNA, 200 nt
Filed under: uncultured bacterium
Lineage: Bacteria
Description: partial 16S ribosomal RNA
Rfam family: Bacterial small subunit ribosomal RNA
Source: RNAcentral